This 253-nucleotide ribosomal RNA is filed under the name uncultured microorganism. RNAcentral's name for it is "partial small subunit ribosomal RNA". It matches the Rfam family "Bacterial small subunit ribosomal RNA", at positions 524 to 776 of the family's 1533-position model. The record is from RNAcentral.
UACGUAGGUGGCAAGCGUUGUCCGGAAUUACUGGGUGUAAAGGGUGCGCAGGCGGGUUGGCAAGUUGGAUGUGAAAUUCCGUGGCUCAACUACGGAGUGGCAUUCAAAACUGUCGAUCCUGAGUGAGGUAGAGGCAGGCGGAAUUCCCGGUGUAGCGGUGAAAUGCGUAGAGAUCGGGAGGAACACCAGUGGCGAAGGCGGCCUGCUGGGCCUUUACUGACGCUGAGGCACGAAAGCAUGGGUAGCAAACAGG